GAUGAACGCUGGCGGCGUGCCUAAUACAUGCAAGUCGAGCGAACAGACAAUGAGCUUUUUCCCCUACGGUUAGCGGCGGACGGGUGAGUAACGCGUGGAUAACCUUCCUCUAAUACGGGGAUAACUUCGGAAAACAGCUGCUACUACCGCCUAAUAUAUUCAACCGCUUGAUUCAAUAGUGAAACACGCCUUUGCUGUCUCAUAUAGAUGGAUCCGCGCCGCAUUAGCUAGUUGGUAAGGUAACGGCUUACCAAGGCAACGUUGCUUAGCCGACCUGAGAGGGUGAUCGGCCACACUGGAACUGAGACACGGUCCAGACUCCUACGGGAGGCAGCAGUGGGGAAUAUUGGGCAAUGGGCGAAAGCCUGACGGAGCAACGCCGCGUGGGUGAUGAAGGUCUUCGGAUUGUAAAACUCUGUUAUUAGGGAAGAAAAAAUGUGUAAGUAAAUAUGCACGUCUUGACGGUACCUAAUCAGAAAGCCACGGCUAACUACGUG
RNAcentral lists this ribosomal RNA (497 nucleotides) under uncultured bacterium. RNAcentral describes it as "partial 16S ribosomal RNA". It matches the Rfam family "Bacterial small subunit ribosomal RNA", at positions 28 to 507 of the family's 1533-position model. The record is from RNAcentral.